GAUGAACGCUGGCGGCGUGCCUAAUACAUGCAAGUCGAGCGAACAGACGAGGAGCUUGCUCCUCUGACGUUAGCGGCGGACGGGUGAGUAACACGUGGAUAACCUACCUAUAAGACUGGGAUAACUUCGGGAAACCGGAGCUAAUACCGGAUGAUAUAUUGAACCGCAUGGUUCAAUAGUGAAAGACGGUUUUGCUGUCACUUAUAGAUGGAUCCGCGCCGCAUUAGCUAGUUGGUAAGGUAACGGCUUACCAAGGCAACGAUGCGUAGCCGACCUGAGAGGGUGAUCGGGCAAACUGGAACUGAGACACGGUCCAGACUCCUACGGGAGGCAGCAGUAGGGAAUCUUCCGCAAUGGGCGAAAGCUUGACGGAGCAACGCCGCGUGAGUGAUGAAGGUCUUCGGAUCGUAAAACUCUGUUAUUAGGGAAGAACAAAUGUGUAAGUAACUAUGCAAGUCUUGACGGUACCUAAUCAGAAAGCCACGGCUAACUACGUG
This 497-nucleotide ribosomal RNA is filed under the name uncultured bacterium. RNAcentral describes it as "partial 16S ribosomal RNA". It matches the Rfam family "Bacterial small subunit ribosomal RNA", at positions 28 to 507 of the family's 1533-position model. The record is from RNAcentral.